CCCGAGUGCCCCUCCCCUCUGGGUGCUGCCCCCUCCACCUCAGCAUGUCUCCAGUCACCGGCUUGUCACCACCCCCCACUCCCAGGCUGCCUGGUUUGGGAAAGGUGGAUCCCACUCAGGUUCCAGGAAUAGCACCCAGCCAGGCCUGGAACCUUUGGUCACUCUGGCUCAGGCGGGGGCAGUGUGACCCAAAGCCGGCCACUGUCAGUGAGUUCCCAGGAGGCAGGGACCAGGGAACGGGUGACAAGGAGGGGCCUCGGGAGCCACCAGCCUCCAGAAGGAACACCACCACCAUGGGCCAGGGAGAGGGAGGCUCAGGGCCCGGCAGACCCCCUGAACUGGAGGUAGCCCAGAAGCUGGAAGCCAGAGCCCCUCUCGAAGCUACAAGACAAAACGAUCCAGUUGUGAACAAUGAAAAAAGCAGCAGUUCAAGAAACCAGCCCAGGCCCAGGCUAGCGCUGUCCACCCCCAGUCCUCAGGGGGUCACGGUAAAAAUCCAGGUUCUUAUUCCUGUUCUCCUGGACCCCUCCAGCCCUCCGACAUCUGGACAAAUCUUUGGGGAUGGCCUUCUUUUCACCUGAACCAUUUGGCCUUGAGUUUCUGUCUCUUCUAAGGAAAAGGAUUUGGACAAAGACAAAAGGUCCCAGGAAAAGCCUCGGCAUCCCCGGUGGGAGGUGGGCUCCCUGGGGAAGGCAGUUGAAAGAGUAAAUGGUCCAAAAAGAAAUUUGCCUCCAUGAAAGAUGAAGGGACUUUUUGGACCCGGUUGGGCCCCUGAAGAGCCUGAGAGUUUCCAGACUUCUAGGAUUCACCCAAGUGUGGGAAGCAUGAAGCAUCUCCUACCUGGCCGAGAACUGACCUCACCGCAGCUUUUCGUAACACCCUGGAAGCUCACCUGAGCUUCAGCUGCUAUAAACUGGAGCACAGCCUGCCCCAAGCACAUUUUUUUUUGUUGAAAGAUUUAUUUUUUAUUUAUUUCUCCCCUUCUGCUCUCUGUGUCCAUUCGCUGUGUGUUCCUCUGCGUCCACUUACAUUCUUGUCAGCGGCACCGGGAAUCUGUGUCUCUUUUUGUUGCAUCAUCUUGCUGCAUCAGCUCUCCGUG
RNAcentral lists this long non-coding RNA (1099 nucleotides) under Dasypus novemcinctus (nine-banded armadillo). RNAcentral describes it as "lncRNA (ENSDNOG00000052359.1)". Lineage: Eukaryota; Metazoa; Chordata; Mammalia; Cingulata; Dasypodidae. The record is from RNAcentral.